RNAcentral lists this small RNA (31 nucleotides) under Arabidopsis thaliana (thale cress). RNAcentral describes it as "ATSL010770". The record is from RNAcentral. Lineage: Eukaryota; Viridiplantae; Streptophyta; Magnoliopsida; Brassicales; Brassicaceae.
GUUUUCUUCUUCUUCUUCUUCCUCUUCUUUU